Molecule: long non-coding RNA, 987 nt
Organism: Anopheles stephensi (Asian malaria mosquito)
Lineage: Eukaryota; Metazoa; Arthropoda; Insecta; Diptera; Culicidae
Exons: 2
Source: RefSeq, a predicted model, not a curated record
GACAAUUAAAAAGAAUUAAAUUGGCAUUCGUUUACACCUUCUUAAAUAAUUCAAUGUGGCCCAUUUAACGCAUCUUUCACAUUAUUGCUGUGUUUGGUUCCAGCCCGUGUUUUAUUCUUUGCGACUCACCAGAAGUAAACCGCUGAAACGCAUAAAUCAUUUUCAGCAUCGUUUUUAUUUCGGGGGACAAGCACAAAACUGGAAAGCUUGAUGCGCCGACGGAACCAGUUUUAUUUCAAUGGCUUUUCGGUCUGGCAAAACCAGACCAGCGGCUCCCUGUACUGGCAUAGUUGCCGCGCGUACGUCGGGGUGUCGGUAACCGUAACUCGAUUUAUUGACGCGCACGCAUUACAAAACUCCAAACUCGCAUGUUUCAUCCGAUGGAUGACAUUUAAAAGAUUCAAAAAAAUAAUCUUAACCGGUCGGAUGAUUAUAGUAAUACAACGCCUCCCAUUUUUGUGCUGAACAGAGGAUGGGCAAAGUGGUGUGGGUAGAGUGGGGUCGAAAAUAAUCACAUGUUGACUUUGGCAUGGAACGAACUUCUCGGAACGCUUCGGGCGUGUUGGAAUCGGGGGUUUCCCUGUCCCUGACCGGUGGUAGCUCACUGCCUGUCUGGCCCACUCGAUGGGACCGCCUAAAGACGGUAACGGGCUGUCUGCGUAAACUGCUCGCGCACGUGACAAACUGACGGUGCGCUCUGACGUUGGUCGAAACCAUGUACACUAGAGGCAGAAUGCAUCCGAGACGAGCGAAUCCGUUGGACAUGCACUGCACUGUUGGUUGCAUUGUGUCUGCAGUUGCCGUUGCAUAAUAGUCCACUCCGUGACAGCCAUCUACUGUCAUGUCGCCACAUCCCCCCAUCGUAUGCGUCAUUGCGCAGCUUAAUGCGCGAGCUUCUGAAGUGCAUCCGAUAAUAGAGUAACGAUGUGCUAGUUCACAGUUUACAAUAAAGCGACGCUUAAUCGGCUGGCUUAUGCUUUUGCUAUA